Molecule: long non-coding RNA, 1001 nt
Filed under: Coffea arabica (coffee)
Lineage: Eukaryota; Viridiplantae; Streptophyta; Magnoliopsida; Gentianales; Rubiaceae
Description: long non-coding RNA (CARA_LNC001474)
Source: RNAcentral
AACUCGAAUGCUGUCCUCCCAACGUAUCAGCCGGAGCUUACGGAAAAUAGGAGAGAGUCCGCAAAAAUUUUCAAUUUUGGUCUCCGGUUUUGAAUUCUAGUCACAUGUAUCAUCAUCAUCAUCAAACUAAAGGUCAAAACUCCCUUUUCUUGGUGUGUCAUCCUAUUCUGCGAUUUCCACAAUAAGUAGGCAAGGCCGCCCCCCCCCCCCCCCGGAUCUGAUCUGGCAGGCUAGAUCAGUGGGUAGUUAUUGAGCACGCCGGGCGGGUAGAGUACGCCAUUAAUGGCGGUGUCUAUUAACCCGUUAACUGCCAACCGUAGUCUAUUCUCAACGGGGACAGUCGACUAAAGUCAUGAGCACUAUUCUUCCGGGUCCCGCAGCAUUUUCCUUUCAACGAUUUCUGAAAGCAGAGUCGAGUCUUGUACUUUUCACAAGAAGUGGUGUGAACUCAACUCAACUGCUCAAUGCUUGACCGCAUUCAGUUAAAAAAAAGAACUCAAAAACAGAGAUCAGUAUUGGGUUACAAUCUAAACCCCUAUAAAUAACCGAAGAAUCUCUUCACCAGUCCUCACCACAACAACAAUAUUUGAAGCCACCCCUCCUUCCAUUUCUCUACCUAAUAACUUCGCAAGUUAUUGCCAUGGCUCCAAGCAGUAGCAGCCUGAUUGUUUUCGCCUUCAUUGCUCUUGCAUGCGCCCUCUGCGUGCAAAGCACUAGUGGUCAGUUCAUCUCCUGGAAUAUACAAUGAUAUUCACAAUCCAAACUUCGUUCGUUGCACAAUAAAUAUACUACUCCGUAUUAUAUUGUAUUUGAUAUGCAUAUGUAGUUCUUGCAUUGAUAUGGGGUAUUGCAUGCAGGAAACAUAGCUUGCGAGGACCUGAAGGAGGACUCUUGCGCCUAUGCGGUGUCAUCGUCGGGAAAGCGCUGCGUGCUGGAGAAGCAUGUCCGCAGAAGCGGGGAGGAAAAGUACACGUGCCGCGCAUCAGAUAUCGAAGCCGAAA